AAUAACCAAAUACAAUACUUGGGCUAAGGGUUAGGUUGGUAAUUUUUCUUACAUCUCCCCCACCCGGAGCCCAAGUAUCAUAUACACCCCCAAAAUAAAGAGCCUUGAAUACUAGAAGAAAAGCACCUAUGCCUAACAAGAUUAAGUGAAUACCCAAAAUUGUAGUCAUUUUAUUUCUAUCUUUCCA
This 187-nucleotide antisense RNA is filed under the name Rosa chinensis. RNAcentral's name for it is "sRNA RchiOBHm_CPg0502331". It matches the Rfam family "Antisense RNA which regulates isiA expression". Lineage: Eukaryota; Viridiplantae; Streptophyta; Magnoliopsida; Rosales; Rosaceae. The record is from Rfam by way of RNAcentral.